RNAcentral lists this ribosomal RNA (253 nucleotides) under uncultured bacterium. RNAcentral's name for it is "partial 16S ribosomal RNA". It matches the Rfam family "Bacterial small subunit ribosomal RNA", at positions 524 to 776 of the family's 1533-position model. The record is from RNAcentral.
UACGUAGGGUGCGAGCGUUAAUCGGAAUUACUGGGCGUAAAGCGCGCGCAGGUGGUCUUUCAAGUCAGUGGUGAAAGCCCGGAGCUCAACUCCGGAAAUGCCAUUGAAACUGUAAGACUUGAGGAUGAGAGAGGUGAGUGGAAUUCCCAGUGUAGAGGUGAAAUUCGUAGAUAUUGGGAAGAACACCGGUGGCGAAGGCGGCAUCCUGGACCGACACUGACGCUGAGGAGCGAAAGCCAGGGGAGCAAACGGG